Molecule: ribosomal RNA, 301 nt
Filed under: uncultured bacterium
Lineage: Bacteria
Description: partial 16S ribosomal RNA
Rfam family: Bacterial small subunit ribosomal RNA
Source: RNAcentral
CAGCCGCCGCGGGAAUACAGAGGAUGCAAGCGUUAUCCGGAAUGAUUGGGCGUAAAGCGCACGUAGGCGGAUACUUAAGUUAGGGGUGAAAUCCCAGGGCUCAACCCUGGAACUGCCUUUAAUACUGGGUAUCUUGAGUUCGAGAGAGGUAAGUGGAAUUCCGAGUGUAGAGGUGAAAUUCGUAGAUAUUCGGAGGAACACCAGUGGCGAAGGCGGCUUACUGGCUCGAUACUGACGCUGAGGUGCGAAAGCGUGGGGAGCAAACAGGAUUAGAUACCCGCGUAGUCCCUGUCUCUUAUAC